UCAUGGUUUAGGGAGGAAAAUUCAGGGGAGCUCUUGGAGAUGCUCUAAGCCACUAUGGCUGUCCUGCAGUCUACCUUUCAUCUAUAAAUAAGAGGCUCAAAAUCAGUGUCUCCUUUGCAGCCCAUAACAAGUCAGCAAACCUUCUAACCUGUGCUGAUUUUCCAAACACUUAAUUCUCUUGCCAUCCUUGGUGCUUGGACUCUAUGGCACAGGAACCGCAGUGUUUUCGCUGGAGUGGCGCCUAGAAUGGCAGGAGCCUUGCUGCUAGCUGAAGAAGCAGCGCAGCUGUGGGCGAUGGCUGGGGGACGGGGCUCGAAGUCUCUCCCUCUUGACAGCCCUGGAUCCUAAUGAGUAGUUGAUAGUUUCAAGGUCAUCUUUUGUCUAAUCAUGGGCACGCAUGUAAUAUUUUAAACUUUGUAUGGGUGUGGUGUACUUGGGGUACUAAUCCUCUCUUCUCAUUUAACAUAAUGAUACGCAGCUCUCCUACGUGUUAGAGAAAAUUGUAAGCAUUGAUGAGCAAUUCGUCCAGGCAUAUGUGUGUUGUACUCUAUGUACUCUAUGUAAAUUUCUUCUUAAUGCAAUGAUGCUUAGCUCUCCUGCGUAUUUGAGAAAAAAU
RNAcentral lists this long non-coding RNA (616 nucleotides) under Panicum hallii. RNAcentral describes it as "long non-coding RNA (PHAL_LNC000412)". The record is from RNAcentral. Lineage: Eukaryota; Viridiplantae; Streptophyta; Magnoliopsida; Poales; Poaceae.